CUACGUGCCAGCAGCCGCGGUAAUACGUAGGGAGCAAGCGUUGUCCGGAAUUACUGGGUGUAAAGGGAGCGUAGGCGGGCGAGAAAGUUGAAUGUUAAAUCUACCGGCUUAACUGGUAGCUGCGUUCAAAACUUCUUGUCUUGAGUGAAGUAGAGGCAGGCGGAAUUCCUAGUGUAGCGGUGAAAUGCGUAGAUAUUAGGAGGAACACCAGUGGCGAAGGCGGCCUGCUGGGCUUUAACUGACGCUGAGGCUCGAAAGCGUGGGGAGCAAACAGGAUUAGAUACCCUGGUAGUCCACGCUGUAAACGAUGAUUACUAGGUGUGGGGGGACUGACCCCUUCC
This 341-nucleotide ribosomal RNA is filed under the name uncultured bacterium. RNAcentral's name for it is "bacterial SSU rRNA". It matches the Rfam family "Bacterial small subunit ribosomal RNA", at positions 501 to 842 of the family's 1533-position model. The record is from RNAcentral.